This 606-nucleotide ribosomal RNA is filed under the name uncultured bacterium. Its description in RNAcentral is "bacterial SSU rRNA". It matches the Rfam family "Bacterial small subunit ribosomal RNA", at positions 338 to 944 of the family's 1533-position model. The record is from RNAcentral.
CCUACGGGAGGCAGCAGUGAGGAAUAUUGGACAAUGGGCGCAAGCCUGAUCCAGCCAUGCCGCGUGCAGGAUGACGGUCCUAUGGAUUGUAAACUGCUUUUAUACGAGAAGAAACACCCCUACGUGUAGGGACUUGACGGUAUCGUAAGAAUAAGGAUCGGCUAACUCCGUGCCAGCAGCCGCGGUAAUACGGAGGAUCCAAGCGUUAUCCGGAAUCAUUGGGUUUAAAGGGUCCGUAGGCGGUUUAGUAAGUCAGUGGUGAAAUCUCCCCGCUCAACGGGGAAACGGCCAUUGAUACUGCUAGACUUGAAUUAUUAGGAAGUAACUAGAAUAUGUAGUGUAGCGGUGAAAUGCUUAGAGAUUACAUGGAAUACCAAUUGCGAAGGCAGGUUACUACUAAUGGAUUGACGCUGAUGGACGAAAGCGUGGGUAGCGAACAGGAUUAGAUACCCUGGUAGUCCACGCCGUAAACGAUGGAUACUAGCUGUUGGGUGCAAACUCAGUGGCUAAGCGAAAGUGAUAAGUAUCCCACUGGGGAGUACGUUCGCAAGAAGUAGAAUUAUAAUUAGAGUGNGNGNGNGAGNGCGAGAGACGACGAGGGAGAGG